This is a long non-coding RNA of Apis florea (little honeybee), 805 nucleotides long. NCBI's taxonomy places the organism in Eukaryota, Metazoa, Arthropoda, Insecta, Hymenoptera, Apidae. The record is from RefSeq and is a predicted model, not a curated record.
AAUAAUAAUAAUAAUAAUUUCAGUAAUAAUUUCAGUUAUUCGUUAAUAAAUUUGAUUAUGAUAGAAUUUUUGAGGUUACAGAACGAUGAAUUCUUGGGAUAUGUUCAAACUUUUGAUUGGUAAAAUCAUAUCGAGAAUAUCUAUAUUAUGAAAAUAAAUAUUAUAUAAGUAUAUUCGUCUAUCUAUUAACGAGAGUCAGUAAAAUUUUUUUCAGAUAAAAUUGCCGCGUUCUUUUGCAUUCUUUAAAGAUUCUUAGAGUCGUGCAUCUUCGUGUCACAACUGUUAUCGGUUAUCGGUUAAUUGGCUUCUUUCUUUCGACUUCGUAUAAAUACUGUAAAUAUCUUUGAAACUCAGAACCUAUAAAAAAGUGGAUUACGAAAGAGUAAUGGCACUACAUCUAUCGCAAGUGUCUCUCAAGUCGCGACAACGACUUUCUAUUUAAGUCUGUUUGGAAACUUCCUGGGCCUUUUGGUUAACAAAGCUAUUUGAAGGAUAAUUUUUUUUUUUUUAAAGAAUUUACGCUGACAAAAGAAAAAUUUUCUUUCUUUGAUAUGAGAUGUUAAAAAUAGUUUCAUGAGAAAUCUACUACAUACUUUCAUAAGACUUCAAUAUUUUAGUUAUGGAACAGAGCACAUAUAAUUCUUAAUUUAUACAACUUUGACACAUUUCUUUAUUCUUUGUAUAAAUGCCGUUGCUCUAUUGUAAUCGAAGUAAACACCGUUACUUUUUACAGUAAUCAACGUCACUAUAAGCAUUCUUUUAAUGUAUUUUGAUUUCUCAAAUAAAUCUUUCCUAUUUUUCUAAA